RNAcentral lists this ribosomal RNA (1820 nucleotides) under Hemigastrostyla enigmatica. RNAcentral's name for it is "LSU rRNA". It matches the Rfam family "Eukaryotic large subunit ribosomal RNA", at positions 23 to 1875 of the family's 3401-position model. Lineage: Eukaryota; Ciliophora; Spirotrichea; Sporadotrichida; Oxytrichidae. The record is from RNAcentral.
ACCCGCUGAACUUAAGCAUAUCACUAAGCGGAGGAAAAGAAACUAACUAGGAUUGCCUCAGUAACGGCGAGUGAAGCGGCAAGAGCCCACAUUGGUAAUCUUCGUGCUGAGCACGAUGAAUUGUAAUCUGUAGGGCGCGGGCUUCUAGGUCGCUCCGCAUAAGUGCUCCUGGAAAGGGCCGCCAGAGAGGGUGUCAGCCCCGUAUGUGGUGGUGCGACUGAACGUAGCGCGUGUUCAGAGAGUCGGGUUGUUUUGUAUUGCAGCCCUAAGUGGGAGAUAAGCAUCUUCUAAGGCUAAAUAUCCGCGGGAAACCGAUAGCGAACAAGUACUGUGAAGGAAAGAUGAAAAGAACUUUGGAAAGAGAGUCAAAAGACUUGAAAUCGUUGAGAAGGAAGCGGUAGAAAUUUAUCCUUCGGCGUAGUGCUAAGGGUGUCGCCUAACCAUCAUAGAUUGGGGAAGUGGCUCUGUGUACUGCGUCGUGCGGCAAGAUGGGGUCGGGUUGCAGCAGAGGCUUCCGUCGCCGGGGUUUAAGCCAGUGGCGGUGUGUCGGUUGUGGCCGGGCCUGAGGGGCUUUGUGCGAUCUUGCCUAAAUGGUUUUUACCGUCCCGUCUUGAAACACGGACCAAGGAGUCUAACAUAUAUGCGAGUGUGCUGGUGGAGAAACCAACACGCAUAAUGAAAGUGAUUGAUGCCAUCAUUGGGCAGCAUCUACCGACCAUGAUCCUCUGGUGAAAGGUUUGCGUCUGAGCAUAUCUGUUAGGACCCGAAAGAUGGUGAACUAUGCUUGAGUAGGGUGAAGCCAGGGGAAACUCUGGUGGAAGCUCGCAGCGGUUCUGACGUGCAAAUCGUUCGUCGAACUUGAGUAUAGGGGCGAAAGACUAAUCGAACCAUCUAGUAGCUGGUUCCCUCCGAAGUUUCCCUCAGGAUAGCUGGGACAAUAACGCAGUUUUAUCAGGUAAAGCGAAUGAUUAGAGGUUUCGGGGGUAAGUUGCCCUCGACCUAUUCUCAAACUUUAAAUUGGUAAGAACCUAGGCCUUCCUUAAUUGAGGCUGUGGGGUUUAAUGCGUGUCCUUAGUGGGCCAUUUUUGGUAAGCAGAACUGGCGAUGAGGGAUGCUCCUAACGUCGAGUUAAGGUGCCAAAGUGCACGCUCAUCAGAUACCACAAAGGGUGUUGGUUCAUAUAGACAGCAGGACGGUGGCCAUGGAAGCUGGAACCCGCUAAGGAGUGUGUAACAACUCACCUGCCGAAUGAACUAGCCCCGAAAAUUAAUGGCGCUAAAGCGUGCGACCGAUACUCGACCAUUGCCGCGAGAGUGUGGCGGUAAUGAGUAGGAGGGCGUGAGCGUUGUUGCGAAGCCUCUGGCGUGAGCCUGGGUUGAACAGCGUUUAGUGCAGAUCUUGGUGGUAGUAGCAAUUAUUCAAAUGAGAACUUUGAAGGCCGAAGUGGAGAAGGUUUCCGUGAGAACAGCAAUUGGUCACGGGUGACUCGAUCCUAAGACAUGGGGGAACUCCUUGUUAAGUGCGCUUCGGCGCGUAGUCGAAAGGGAAUGAGGUUAAUAUUCCUCAAGCUGGCUGUGGAUAUUGUACGGUAACGUAAGUGAGCCCAGAAACGCCAGCGCGAGCCUCUGGAAGAGUUCUCUUUUCUUUUUAACAGGUUAGCGACCUUGAAAUUGGAUUAUCCAGAGCUAAGGUUGUACGCCUGGAAGAGCACCGCGCCUUCUGCGGUGUCAGGUGCGCUCGCGAUGGUCCGUGAAAAUCUGGGUGAGAGGACUAUUUCACACCAGUUCGUACCCAUAACCGCAUCAGGUCUCCCAAGGUUA